This 1015-nucleotide long non-coding RNA is filed under the name Durio zibethinus. Its description in RNAcentral is "long non-coding RNA (DZIB_LNC001262)". Lineage: Eukaryota; Viridiplantae; Streptophyta; Magnoliopsida; Malvales; Malvaceae. The record is from RNAcentral.
ACUAACAGAUUUUCCUAGAUCUGACUUUGAAUCCCACGGCUUCAAAUCCCAAAACGGCCUCCACCGUCACUCCAAACUCCUCUUCCUUUUAUUAUAUUUAUCAUCUAGCUCUAGCCUCUUUCCCUCCUAAAAACCUGGCCACGAAUCCCCUUCAAAGCCACGAGACCGAAACCCUCUCUCUUUUCUUUUUUUUUUUUUGUUGGCUUUUUGGUGCUGUUUCUCCCCAUUCUAGGGGGAUGUGAUCUUUUUUAUUGUGUGUGACUUUUCUUUUUUUUUUUUUGUUUUGGUUGUUAGGCGAAGCGGGUGCUUGACUGGGGUUCUUUUGGUGGCUCAAAGGGGGUUUUUUGGUUGGGGAAGUAGGUUUAAGGUUGUUGAUGGAUGGUGGGUGUUGGGCGAAUUAGAUGGUUAAGAGGGUCGGUGAUGGAGAUGAGUUUUUGGUGCUUGGCUGGGGUGCGACAGAAUGUUUUGGCAUUGUUUUUGUUCAGAUGGAAAAUGGUUCAGGUUGAAUUGGGAUUUGGCAAUGCUUGGUGCAAAUUGGCUGUGAUGGGUUUGGGUGUUAGGCCAGAGCUCUCUCCUUUGAAAAUUGGCUUCCUUCCUCAUCUGUGAUUGGCUCAUUUUUGUAAAGUAGAUCUGGGAUGAAAAUCCCAGAUUUUCAAUAAUUCAAAUCCCUAUUUUCGUUCGGCAGAGUGGCUGGUAGCUUGAUUUCAACUGACACCCUCUGCUGUGUUGAAAAAAAAGAUGACUUCCUGAGAAGGGAUGGGGACAUUUAAUGUUUGUGUUGUUUUUCAUCUCUAGACGAACGAAAAAGAAAAAUGGAUGUUUGGCCAACAUUUAAUGCCGGGAUCCAAUUUGAUUUUUUUUAAUCUUCAUUAUUUUCAGACAAAAUUAAGUAAUCAAUCCAUUUAAGUUUAAAUUAUUACUUAAUUUGAUUUUUUUAAUCUUCAUUAUUUUGAAAUUAUUUAAAUUUUGAUUCAAUUUAAGUUUGAUUGUCUAUCUUACAAAAUAAAUUUAAGAG